CUGUAAGCCGUUGAAGGUGACCUGUGAGGGUUGCUGGAGGUAUCAGAAGUGCGAAUGCUGACAUAAGUAACGAUAAUGCGGGUGAAAAACCCGCACGCCGGAAGACCAAGGGUUCCUGUCCAACGUUAAUCGGGGCAGGGUGAGUCGACCCCUAAGGCGAGGCUGAAAAGCGUAGUCGAUGGGAAACAGGUUAAUAUUCCUGUACUUGGUGUUACUGCGAAGGGGGGACGGAGAAGGCUAGGCUAGCCGGGCGACGGUUGUCCCGGUUUAAGCAUGUAGGCGGAGCGACUUGGUAAAUCCGGUUGCUUAUCAACGCUGAGGUGUGAUGACGAGUCACUACGGUGAUGAAGUAGUUGAUGCCAAGCUUCCAGGAAAAGCCUCUAAGCAUCAGGUAACAUUAAAUCGUACCCCAAACCGACACAGGUGGUCAGGUAGAGAAUACUCAGGCGCUUGAGAGAACUCGGGUGAAGGAACUAGGCAAAAUGGUGCCGUAACUUCGGGAGAAGGCACGCUGGCAUUAGGUAAAGAGACUUGCUCUCGGCGCCGAAGCCAGUCGCAGAUACCAGCUGGCUGCAACUGUUUAAUAAAAACACAGCACUGUGCAAACACGAAAGUGGACGUAUACGGUGUGACGCCUGCCCGGUGCUGGAAGGUUAAUUGAUGGGGUCAGCCGCAAGGCGAAGCUCUUGAUCGAAGCCCCAGUAAACGGCGGCCGUAACUAUAACGGUCCUAAGGUAGCGAAAUUCCUUGUCGGGUAAGUUCCGACCUGCACGAAUGGCGUAAUGAUGGCCAGGCUGUCUCCACCCGAGACUCAGUGAAAUUGAACUCGCUGUGAAGAUGCAGUGUACCCGCGGCAAGACGGAAAGACCCCGUGAACCUUUACUAUAGCUUGACACUGAACAUUGAGCCUUGAUGUGUAGGAUAGGUGGGAGGCAUUGAAGUGUGGACGCCAGUCUGCAUGGAGCCAACCUUGAAAUACCACCCUUUAAUGU
Molecule: ribosomal RNA, 992 nt
Filed under: Yersinia enterocolitica
Lineage: Bacteria; Pseudomonadati; Pseudomonadota; Gammaproteobacteria; Enterobacterales; Yersiniaceae
Description: partial 23S ribosomal RNA
Rfam family: Bacterial large subunit ribosomal RNA
Source: RNAcentral